UACAGAGGGUGCGAGCGUUAAUCGGAAUUACUGGGCGUAAAGCGCACGUAGGUGGCUUUGCAAGUCGAUUGUGAAAUCCCCGGGCUUAACCGAGGAACUGCCUGUCAGACUGUGAGGCUUGAGACCGGGAGAGGUGAGUGGAAUUCCCAGUGUAGCGGUGAAAUGCGUAGAUAUUGGGAGGAACACCAGUGGCGAAGGCGGCUCACUGGACCGGAACUGACGCUGAGGCGCGAAAGCGUGGGGAGCAAACAGG
Molecule: ribosomal RNA, 253 nt
Filed under: uncultured bacterium
Lineage: Bacteria
Description: partial 16S ribosomal RNA
Rfam family: Bacterial small subunit ribosomal RNA
Source: RNAcentral